GUGGGGAAUCUUAGACAAUGGGGGAAACCCUGAUCUAGCCAUGCCGCGUGAGCGAUGAAGGCCUUAGGGUUGUAAAGCUCUUUCAGCUGGGAAGAUAAUGACUGUACCAGCAGAAGAAGCCCCGGCUAACUCCGUGCCAGCAGCCGCGGUAAUACGGAGGGGGCUAGCGUUUUUCGGAAUGACUGGGCGUAAAGCGCACGUAGGCGGACCGGAAAGUCAGAGGUGAAAUCCCAGGGCUCAACCUUGGAACUGCCUUUGAAACUUCUGGUAUUGAGGUCGAGAGAGGUGAGUGGCAUUCCGAGUGUAGAGGUGAAAUUCGUAGAUAUUCGGAGGAACACCAGUGGCGAAUGCGACUCACUGGCCCAAUACUGACGCUGAGGCGCGAAAGCGUGGGGAGCAAACAGGAUUAGAUACCCCUGUAGUCC
This 425-nucleotide ribosomal RNA is filed under the name uncultured bacterium. RNAcentral describes it as "partial 16S ribosomal RNA". It matches the Rfam family "Bacterial small subunit ribosomal RNA", at positions 354 to 796 of the family's 1533-position model. The record is from RNAcentral.